CUCUGUGACUCCACGGGAGGCAGCAGUGGGGAAUAUUGCACAAUGGGGGAAACCCUGAUGCAGCCAUGCCGCGUGUGUGAAGAAGGCCUUCGGGUUGUAAAGCACUUUCAGUAGGGAGGAAGGUAGUGUAGUUAACACCUGCAUUAUUUGACGUUACCUACAGAAGAAGCACCGGCUAACUCCGUGCCAGCAGCCGCGGUAAUACGGAGGGUGCGAGCGUUAAUCGGAAUUACUGGGCGUAAAGCGCAUGCAGGCGGCCUGUUAAGUCAGAUGUGAAAGCCCGGGGCUUAACCUCGGAAUUGCAUUUGAAACUGGCAGGCUAGAGUCUUGUAGAGGGGGUAGAAUUUCAGGUGUAGCGGUGAAAUGCGUAGAGAUCUGAAGGAAUACCAGUGGCGAAGGCGGCCCCCUGGACAAAGACUGACGCUCAGAUGCGAAAGCGUGGGGAGCAAACAGGAUUAGAUACCCUGGUAG
This 471-nucleotide ribosomal RNA is filed under the name uncultured bacterium. RNAcentral's name for it is "bacterial SSU rRNA". It matches the Rfam family "Bacterial small subunit ribosomal RNA", at positions 328 to 793 of the family's 1533-position model. The record is from RNAcentral.